This is a long non-coding RNA of Camellia sinensis, 2564 nucleotides long. RefSeq lists it as uncharacterized. The record is from RefSeq and is a predicted model, not a curated record. NCBI's taxonomy places the organism in Eukaryota, Viridiplantae, Streptophyta, Magnoliopsida, Ericales, Theaceae.
AAAAAAAAAAAAGCUCUUCAUGGAGAGACAACACAAGUUACCUAACCUACAAAAAGAAAUCUUCUCACAACCCGAGAGGCUAUGUCAAAACUCACAAGGUACAAAGAAAUACACAAAGUAGGCACAAUUAUGGAACUUCUCACAACCCCAGAGGUUAGGCACAUAAAACACACUUACCGGCAAAAAAGUUGAUCUAGUGGUGUUUCUUGGCCUAAUUUUGAUAAUGUUGUACAUAUGCCUUUCUAUAAUUGUAUAGAUGACAGUCAGUCAUCUAUACGAUUUCAUAGACCACCAGAUAAAUAUAAUAUUUAGGAAUUAUAAUCUCGCUGGUCUCACAUUGCUAUCGGAAAAUAUUUUAUUUUAUUUUGUUUUGUUUUUGUUGACAAGUGUGUAUUUCAUUAAGCAAAAUGGUACCAAAUGGUGCCACCCAAGCACAAAAUUAAAAAAGGAGGAUCCCGAAAACCUUAGGAAAGAAAAAUAGCAAACUUUACAACCCAACUACUCAAAAGACCCUACAGAAUCCAAAAAUUGAUCCAAGUAUGGCUCAAUACAUUUGAGUUCCAACUGUAUUAAGUAGACAAAUACUAUCACUAGAGCUUAAACAACACCUCCACACCUUUAAAGGUUCUAUUCCGCUCUCAUGAAAUGAUCCACAAAAGAGCAAGGGCCCUCCUCCCCAAAACUAUUUCUGAUGACACUUUGUUCUUUAUUUUUGUUUCUCAUGUCUGUGAAGAAAAACAUUGAUUCUCUAUAUACCUUGCUAUUUAUUUUUUGGGUUUUGCUAGAUGGUUGGAUCCAUAUCACUCCUGCUAUCUCUUGUUUGUAUUUCUGAAAAAACUAUAGCACUAGCUUUUGAACUUGAGUUUUACAAAAUACUAACAUGUUGAUUGUUGUUUCCUACUAUCAAUUUCCACAUUAUCCUUUCCAACCAGUUAUUGGAAUGGAAUGAGGAACAAACUGAAGAACAAGGGGGAGCUGAAUCACCUCCUGUUGUUGCUAAUGAUCCCUGUGCACAAAGUUCCGGAAAGAAAGAGGAUAAUCCAGUUAAUGGUACUGAAGAAAGUGGAUGGGGGCAGACUUCUGUGACUAAGCUAAGGAGUAAAUUCUUGUGGUGACUUGUUCAUAGUUUCAUUGAGCAUCACUGUUCUAGAAUACAUUAUAUGACCCGUAUCACUUUAGAAUCUGAUGUCACAUUUAUAGCAAGUACAAAACAUUCUCAACUAUUAACCACUUAAUUAACUUAGGCAUUCACAUAUGAGAGGAAUAACAAACUUGUAUAUGCAAAAUUCAAAGUUAUACCUAGGGUACAGACAUACCGAUGGGCCCAAAAAAAAAAAUACAGCUAUGCCACCUUAAUGCAAUAGCAAUUGGAAUGAUUUGAAUUGUUGAUGAAAGAAAGAAAACAGGCAAUAUAAUGCAUCCUAAUCCAACAUCUGUGAGAAUGUCCCACUGUAAUUUCCUUUUUGGAUAUUGAUUAUCAUAUUGAACCACAGGAGAGUACAAUUAUUAUGUGUUUUAUGUAGCAAUUCUCGUACUCCCCAGUCAACUAGAUGAGCAGUAAAAAAAAAGAGUAUAUCGAAUAGACGAACCAACACCCAGUAAGGUACUCUUACUGGGCCUAUUGACUGUGCAUGCUGAUUGGAGUGUUGAGAGUUGUUUGAAGGUUGAGCCUUUUUGGAAUUGUACAAGUCUGUUGUUUUCUGCCUGUUUGUUUUGCUGGUGCUAUGUUCCUGCUGCUGUCUCUGUUUGACUGAGAAAUUGUUCAUGUUUGCACCUGUUUUGUUCAACCCCCCAUAGUCUUUGGUAUGUGGUGUUUGAACAAAUCUUUCCUGUGAAUGUGUUCAUAUUGUCUUAUUGAGAAGUGAAUGGUUCAUAUAGCCUUUUAUGUUGAUGAGACCAAGAGUUUUUUAUGUUGAUACCCUUACUCAAAAAGAAAAGAAAAUACCUAAAGAAGGUGAAUAUUAUUUCCUAACUGAAAUUAACUGCGUCUAGGCAUUCUUAGUAUAUAUUACGAUAACGUCGCAAAUCAUUCAUGAACUUGAUAUUUUAAUACUUUACUCUUGUUACUUUAAGUGCGCCUUUCUUUCUCAUUCUCGUUCUUGAAUUUUCUUUGCUUUUGUGCUUUUAAUAUUUUAAAAAUCAGACCCAUUCUUUGUUUGUAAUUUGUAUACAUGUGCAAGAAAGCAAUUGAUAGGUGCUGGUUCUAAAAAUCUGUAGGCCUCGAUAGUGCAUCAAAACUCUUGACAAGAAAUGCAACAGGGUUAGUUGCUCCAGCUAUUGCCGUGGGUUUAUGUGCCUUAACACAUACAUUGGGCACCCCCGUCCCUAUGAUAGGAGCAAGUGGAUUUGCUAUAGCUGCAGUUGCAAUUGCUAUAGGAAUUGUUGUCGGUAGUUUUAGAUAAUCGCUUAAUAGUUGUUGAUAUGUUUAGAAAGUUAGAUAUGCAUAGUUUUGGAUAGUUUAAACUUUUUAUACAAUUUAAAACUUAAGGAUAUAGUUUUCGAAUGUUUGGAAUGUAUAAAUAAUUGUUGAAUGUUUAUAAUUUAUGGAUAUAGUUUCUUUUUGA